Panicum virgatum (switchgrass) is the source of this 749-nucleotide long non-coding RNA. RefSeq lists it as uncharacterized. Lineage: Eukaryota; Viridiplantae; Streptophyta; Magnoliopsida; Poales; Poaceae. The transcript has 3 exons. The record is from RefSeq and is a predicted model, not a curated record.
CCGAUAUUUUUCACCACCCCCCAAAAUCAGACGCGCCACGCUCAAUCUCGCUGCCGCGUUGAGGUUCUCGCCGGUCGGCGAUUUCCUUCCUCGCCGUGCGGGAUCAGAGCCGGGCCGAGAGAGGAGGGGACCCUCGCACGUUCGUCCUGGGAGAGUGGCUCGCCGCGUUCGCCCUCGUCAAGCGCCAACUACCGACUUCAAUCUCGGCGCACGCAGCAUCAUCCUUGUCGGCCGCCGAUUCGUCCUCAUCGAGCGGAAGUCACGACGAGAGUGAGGUCACGUCGGCGAUUCGUUAUUGCCGAGAGGGAGGCGCGCGGCAGCGAGGGGGGCUCGUCGUUCUCUUCGCUGGCGAUUUGUGGUCGUUCUCGCCGAAGGGGGAGACGCAUCGGGAGUGAGGGCGGGUUCACGCGUCGAUCUCGUCGCCCGGCGAUUUGUCCUCACCAAGGGGAGGCGCGCCGGGAGCGAGGGUGGCGCACUCCCGUGCGUGAUUUUCUCCAGCGGCCUGGGGGUGAUUCAUCUUUCGUCAAGGGAGCACGUUGCGAAGGGAGGGACGACUCCGUGCGCAGGGACCUGCACUCCAUUCGCAGGAAGAUGCAAAACCACUGCGUGAAUGCAUAUCCUACUACUUGCUGACACACCCAUGCAACGAAAAGUACGAAACUCUUCUCGAGAUCAAAAAUAUAUUAAACAUGCAUAGCGUGACCAUCGAGUUCUAUAAGUGAAGAUGGUGGUGUGCAGAUUUAUGGUUA